Non-coding RNA from Saimiri boliviensis boliviensis (Bolivian squirrel monkey), 1538 nucleotides. The record is from RefSeq and is a predicted model, not a curated record. Lineage: Eukaryota; Metazoa; Chordata; Mammalia; Primates; Cebidae.
AGAGAGGGGGAGGGAGGAGAGGAGGAAGAGCGCCGCAGCCUCGGCAGCUGGAGUCGGAGCAGGGGGGGGACAGUUUCAAAAAAUAAUUAAAAAUCGAGGAAAUAUCCUAGAAAAGCCCUUUUGGCGUGAAAACCCCAAAGAGGAAUCAGGCUUCCCGAAACGUAAGUUUCGGGUGCCAGAAAGGUUCCCCAGCAGCUGCAGCUCGCCCUGAACCUGGCACAUGGCAGCCUCUAGGCUUCACUUUUGGGGAUUGCUUCUGCUUUGAAAUAGCCACAUGGAAGAAAAACUACAAAGUUUUGAGGGGAAAAAAAAACCCCCACCUAACUUUAGCUGCCAUUGUGUCUUCAUCUGUAAAAAUCUUCUUGUCUCGUGGAUUUCAACGUGCAGUUUGCCUUGGUUUGUUCCAUGAAACAUCAGAUGCAACUUUAAUGGCCUAACCCCAAAAAGAUAACUUGACAGCCAUCAAACAUUCAGCAGCGUUCCAAAUACCCUCUUGCUGGAGCCUGCCUUCUACGGGGCCAUGUGGAUGUCAGGCACACACAAUUUGAGUCACGCUGACAUAGCUGGGAUGCCUGGAUUGCGCUGCAAUCUCGGGGGGUACCAAUCACAGGCCAGAGAGAAGCCAUUGGCUGGAAGGAACAAUGCCAGAGUGUUCACCGUCUCUGCAGAGGAGCGGGUGUUGGUGAUGAGGGGAAAGACAGUUGCAGCCAGAGGAGGAAAAUGACCCCAAAGCAGAGUGGGCAUAUGUCAGUGAUGCUGGGCAGAAGCAUUCCAGAGGCUCAGGUCAUGACCACACCCCUCUCCUCCUGCUCCACAACCAAAGAAAUUAAGAAGGCACAAGAUUUUCCCUAAAAUGUCAUGUACAGAAUGCCCGGCUGUCUUCAGGGGUUUGGGAAGUCCAGGGUUGACGACAGCCCAAAUUUAUGAAGCACUUACCUGUACCAGACACUGUCUGUAUCUUACAAAUAAUGCAUUUGAUUCUCAUAACUCCUUCAUGAAGUGUAAGCCUUUUUCUGGUUUACUACAUGCCAAGGACUGUGCCAAAUCAUUCACAUAAAACCACGAGCAUGCAUCACCUUAUUUGGUCCUCCCACAGUCUAAUGGGAGAUUCUACAAUGAAACUGGCAGACUCCUCCUCGUCUCUACCUGUGCUGUCUCCCUCUCUAGUCCCAGACACUGAGAGCGGGUGCCCCGCGGCCCCGUCAGGCCAGAUCACCAAGAAGCUCACCAAGAAGACUGCGUGCCUCGCCCUAGCCUUCCUAAGACGGGAAAGUAGACUCUUGUUUUUGAGGGAAAUUGCCUUUGAGAGAAACAUAAAGGAAUUUAUUUUCUCUUAAGUGAACAUUCCACUUGUAAAAAUGAAAUCUGGAAGAACUUCUGCAAACUCUUGAGUGUUUUGGUCAAUUGACCUUUUACUGUACCAAGCAAAUCUGAAGCCACCAAUAAACUGGGAAGAAAGGUAUUCCCUUCACAAAAGACUUGUCACUUAGCCAGACACUCUGGUGCAGUGCUUCUUUAAAAUAGAGAACAUUUCUGGU